RNAcentral lists this ribosomal RNA (2890 nucleotides) under Neisseria gonorrhoeae. Its description in RNAcentral is "bacterial LSU rRNA". It matches the Rfam family "Bacterial large subunit ribosomal RNA". The record is from RNAcentral. Lineage: Bacteria; Pseudomonadati; Pseudomonadota; Betaproteobacteria; Neisseriales; Neisseriaceae.
UCAAGUGAAUAAGUGCAUCAGGCGGAUGCCUUGGCGAUGAUAGGCGACGAAGGACGUGUAAGCCUGCGAAAAGCGCGGGGGAGCUGGCAAUAAAGCUAUGAUUCCGCGAUGUCCGAAUGGGGAAACCCACUGCAUUCUGUGCAGUAUCCUAAGUUGAAUACAUAGGCUUAGAGAAGCGAACCCGGAGAACUGAACCAUCUAAGUACCCGGAGGAAAAGAAAUCAACCGAGAUUCCGCAAGUAGUGGCGAGCGAACGCGGAGGAGCCUGUACGUAAUAACUGUCGAGAUAGAAGAACAAGCUGGGAAGCUUGACCAUAGCGGGUGACAGUCCCGUAUUCGAAAUCUCAACAGCGGUACUAAGCGUACGAAAAGUAGGGCGGGACACGUGAAAUCCUGUCUGAAUAUGGGGGGACCAUCCUCCAAGGCUAAAUACUCAUCAUCGACCGAUAGUGAACCAGUACCGUGAGGGAAAGGCGAAAAGAACCCCGGGAGGGGAGUGAAACAGAACCUGAAACCUGAUGCAUACAAACAGUGGGAGCGCCCUAGUGGUGUGACUGCGUACCUUUUGUAUAAUGGGUCAACGACUUACAUUCAGUAGCGAGCUUAACCGGAUAGGGGAGGCGUAGGGAAACCGAGUCUUAAUAGGGCGAUGAGUUGCUGGGUGUAGACCCGAAACCGAGUGAUCUAUCCAUGGUCAGGUUGAAGGUGCCGUAACAGGUACUGGAGGACCGAACCCACGCAUGUUGCAAAAUGCGGGGAUGAGCUGUGGGUAGGGGUGAAAGGCUAAACAAACUCGGAGAUAGCUGGUUCUCCCCGAAAACUAUUUAGGUAGUGCCUCGAGCAAGACACUGAUGGGGGUAAAGCACUGUUAUGGCUAGGGGGUUAUUGCAACUUACCAACCCAUGGCAAACUCAGAAUACCAUCAAGUGGUUCCUCGGGAGACAGACAGCGGGUGCUAACGUCCGUUGUCAAGAGGGAAACAACCCAGACCGCCGGCUAAGGUCCCAAAUGAUAGAUUAAGUGGUAAACGAAGUGGGAAGGCACAGACAGCCAGGAUGUUGGCUUAGAAGCAGCCAUCAUUUAAAGAAAGCGUAAUAGCUCACUGGUCGAGUCGUCCUGCGCGGAAGAUGUAACGGGGCUCAAAUCUAUAACCGAAGCUGCGGAUGCCGGUUUACCGGCAUGGUAGGGGAGCGUUCUGUAGGCUGAUGAAGGUGCAUUGUAAAGUGUGCUGGAGGUAUCAGAAGUGCGAAUGUUGACAUGAGUAGCGAUAAAGCGGGUGAAAAGCCCGCUCGCCGAAAGCCCAAGGUUUCCUACGCAACGUUCAUCGGCGUAGGGUAAGUCGGUCCCUAAGGCGAGGCAGAAAUGCGUAGUCGAUGGGAAACAGGUUAAUAUUCCUGUACUUGAUUCAAAUGCGAUGUGGGGACGGAGAAGGUUAGGUUGGCAAGCUGUUGGAAUAGCUUGUUUAAGCCGGUAGGUGGAAGACUUAGGCAAAUCCGGGUUUUCUUAACACCGAGAAGUGAUGACGAGUGUCUACGGACACGAAGCAACCGAUACCACGCUUCCAGGAAAAGCCACUAAGCUUCAGUUUGAAUCGAACCGUACCGCAAACCGACACAGGUGGGCAGGAUGAGAAUUCUAAGGCGCUUGAGAGAACUCGGGAGAAGGAACUCGGCAAAUUGAUACCGUAACUUCGGGAGAAGGUAUGCCCUCUAAGGUUAAGGACUUGCUCCGUAAGCCCCGGAGGGUCGCAGAGAAUAGGUGGCUGCGACUGUUUAUUAAAAACACAGCACUCUGCCAACACGAAAGUGGACGUAUAGGGUGUGACGCCUGCCCGGUGCCGGAAGGUUAAUUGAAGAUGUGCAAGCAUCGGAUCGAAGCCCCGGUAAACGGCGGCCGUAACUAUAACGGUCCUAAGGUAGCGAAAUUCCUUGUCGGGUAAGUUCCGACCCGCACGAAUGGCGUAACGAUGGCCACACUGUCUCCUCCCGAGACUCAGCGAAGUUGAAGUGGUUGUGAAGAUGCAAUCUACCCGCUGCUAGACGGAAAGACCCCGUGAACCUUUACUGUAGCUUUGCAUUGGACUUUGAAGUCACUUGUGUAGGAUAGGUGGGAGGCUUGGAAGCAGAGACGCCAGUCUCUGUGGAGUCGUCCUUGAAAUACCACCCUGGUGUCUUUGAGGUUCUAACCCAGACCCGUCAUCCGGGUCGGGGACCGUGCAUGGUAGGCAGUUUGACUGGGGCGGUCUCCUCCCAAAGCGUAACGGAGGAGUUCGAAGGUUACCUAGGUCCGGUCGGAAAUCGGACUGAUAGUGCAAUGGCAAAAGGUAGCUUAACUGCGAGACCGACAAGUCGGGCAGGUGCGAAAGCAGGACAUAGUGAUCCGGUGGUUCUGUAUGGAAGGGCCAUCGCUCAACGGAUAAAAGGUACUCCGGGGAUAACAGGCUGAUUCCGCCCAAGAGUUCAUAUCGACGGCGGAGUUUGGCACCUCGAUGUCGGCUCAUCACAUCCUGGGGCUGUAGUCGGUCCCAAGGGUAUGGCUGUUCGCCAUUUAAAGUGGUACGUGAGCUGGGUUUAAAACGUCGUGAGACAGUUUGGUCCCUAUCUGCAGUGGGCGUUGGAAGUUUGACGGGGGCUGCUCCUAGUACGAGAGGACCGGAGUGGACGAACCUCUGGUGUACCGGUUGUAACGCCAGUUGCAUAGCCGGGUAGCUAAGUUCGGAAGAGAUAAGCGCUGAAAGCAUCUAAGCGCGAAACUCGCCUGAAGAUGAGACUUCCCUUGCGGUUUAACCGCACUAAAGGGUCGUUCGAGACCAGGACGUUGAUAGGUGGGGUGUGGAAGCGCGGUAACGCGUGAAGCUAACCCAUACUAAUUGCCCGUGAGGCUUGACUCU